GAAUUGGAAACGAGCCGAACAAAAGAUUGCGGGCAAGGCGCGACAUUCUUUUGGGUGUGGUCGAUGGCAGUUGGCAGUUGGCAGCUGGGAGGCGGCAGGAGGCGGGAGGCUGCACAAAUAUUGCGCAUACGCCGCGUGCAUCGAUGCAGCAAACAAAUCAGCAAAUGCCCACAGCUCGGCUGGCAGUCACUUAAGAUCUCUGUGGUUCAGUGGCUCAGUGGUUUAGUGGUGCCGCGGUGCCGUGGUGCAGUGGUGCAGUGUGGUGCACUGGUUCUGUGUCAGCAGGGCUUGCCGUCUUGCCCACUAACUGCUUAGCUUGGCUCACUUAAUUCUUGCAUAAUUUGCAUGCCCAUGCAAUGGCUACAGCCGGAGUCCACAUCGAGCUGUUUAUUAUAAUCAUCCUCUCAUUGAUUUCAGUCGACUUUAACGGGCCUUAAUGAGCAGCCCUGCAGGUACAACAGAUAAUUUGCGAGCCAUUACGUUGCCAACGGCCUAAAAGAAAAAGAAAAAAGAAAAAAAAAAAAAAAACAUUUUACGCACACGAAUCGAGUGUGUAAUCCAACAUUUACAUUUCCUUCUGAGGCGACUAUUGGGUUUAUUAUUGGAUUUUAUGCUUUUGAGCUCUAAACUCUCUUUUUGAGAAAUAUUGCCAGAGGAUUGCAAUAAAUACCCAACGCUAAUGGAAUGAUAGAGCUAGUUAAUAUUUUCCAUCAAAAAUGCUCAAGCUCCUUCAUUAAUUCAUAUUGUGAUCUGUUUGCAUUUACUUAUCGGAUCAGUUUUUGUUAGUAAUACUUAUUUGAUUUUCUAUAUUAUUGAAUAUAUUGCAUAAUUGCCUCGAGUAGAAAGCCGAGAGCAGUAAAAUGAAUCAUUUGGCAAGCAUCUCAGCUUUAUGCUGCUCGUCUUCUAUUUUUUGUGAAGGUUACUUUACUUUUAUUUAGAUAUAAUAUAGUUCAUAAUAUUUUGGUGGUUGUUGACAGCAAAUAUUUGUCAGAUACAAAUACUUUUGAUGGCUGUUGAACGCACUCAUGAACCUUUUCAAUAUGGGAAUUCAGCUAAUAAUGAAGAAGAACCAGAAAUUAUUAUACGAAGCUAGAAGAAAUUUAGAUUAAUUAGAACAAAGAGCUAAAUCAGUUCGAUAGGCUAUCUGUCCGUUCGGCAGUUUGUCCAUUCGUUUGCCCUAGAGCUAUAUAGUGUGAUUUUAUAAUUUUCUGCUCUAUCCCAUUCCAUUGCCUUAUUAUCGAUUAAAAUCGAUUACCUAAUUUAGCUUUAUAAUACCAAAAAAACCUCUAUAGCUUCGACUGCUGAAAUAGUAUAAGAUAGUUCACAUUCUUAAAUAGAAUAAAAAAAAAAAAAGGAUUUCAAAUUGUAGAUUUUUUAAGGAAAUGCAAAAGUCAAUAAAAAAGUUCAUGCAGCUCGAACGGACUUAGGGUAUCACCUAGUCGUGCACUCUCGACUGGACCACUCCCACUUGAUUUCAUCUGAAAUGAUGGCUAAAAAACGUUUUGUAAACAAGUUGAGCUUUCGCCAAGAGAGCCAAAUUGAUGUUAAUUGGGUUUACUAGGAAUAAUCUUGAAUGAUGUUAUUCAUGGAAGUAUUUCCCCAAGCCCCAAUUGUAGCUUCGAAAUGGGCUCUAUUAAUGCAAAAUAUAUUUUGAGCUGUAUAAGUCUCGAUUGCUAAUGCUUAGUGCUUAAUGCCUCCCUUCUACACGGGUCGCAAACUGGAACCUGGCAACUUUGGGAAGUACAAUCGAAACCUGUAGGACCACCCCACCCGACCCCGCUCUCUCAUAUAAUAUCUUUUAAAAUUUGCAGCUAAUGUAAAUAUGCAAUUUGCGAGAUAUUGAAGAUCGCAGCUGAGACUCGACUCGGAACCGGCACAGCAAGAUUUCAAAUGCUAAAGCCAAUUAAUUGUAAGAUCAAUAAUACCGCCAACGAGCCGCAAUAAAAGACUUGUACGGAUAGGCAAACAAUUAACUCAAUUCAACUCUGUCGUACAGCCCGAAUUUGAUGAGUACUUCCAUUCAGAAUAGCUCGGUCUCUCUAUGGGCGACCUUCUCGGGAGUAAAUAGCUAAUGCCACACGCCAACAACUAGACAGCAGCAACAACAACAACAACAACAACAGCAAUAGCAACAACAACAUCAAAUUGACGUAGCUCUUUCUAAGCACACAAUUCAACAGCAACAAGUUGGCAAAUAUUUUUUUCAUUAUUUACAUAUAAUAUUUGUUAUUUGCGCAACGUUUCAUCGUUAGCCGUUUCGUCGUGGCGGCGCUCCGACGUCGUCGUUCCGUUGCUCAGUUUUCCCUUAGUUGGCCCGCACAAUGGCGGGAAAAUUAGCACAGGUGCUUCAAAAGGCGAGUUGUAGCCGUAUAAAAUGUGUAUUAAACGGGUCUAGCAGGUCGUUCCUCUGUAUGAUGACCGAAACCCUGAUCUUCUCAGACUGCCUCCCACCUUAGAAACAGGACCUAUCCCGCAUUAGGCGUUAAGGUUGCGGAGCAUUGCCAUCUUUAUUCCUGCAUCCAGGACAUGCCUCUUCCGCCGUAGAACCGGCCGAUGUCAAUAUUCUAUUCAUGCAUUGUUAUUUUGAUCCUCUGUUAAGCACGGUAAAGUCAAUAAAACCUACAUAAAUAAAUUAAACAUAAUAAUUAUAGUCACAAAUUUAGUUAAGAAGAAACUAAUUUCGUUGGUUCCGAAUAGUUCGAUAUAAAACAUAUUCUGUUUAGAUUUGUGUAAUGUAGGUAUACUCAAAUUUAUAUUUAUUUUAGAAUAGAAGCAUAUAUUGUUGAAUAAUUGUUGUUACUAUUAUUAUGAAUAAUAAUUCGAUUCACUGAA
This is a long non-coding RNA of Drosophila mojavensis, 2832 nucleotides long. RefSeq lists it as uncharacterized. The transcript is spliced from 2 exons. NCBI's taxonomy places the organism in Eukaryota, Metazoa, Arthropoda, Insecta, Diptera, Drosophilidae. The record is from RefSeq and is a predicted model, not a curated record.